UACGAAGGGGGCUAGCGUUGUUCGGAAUCACUGGGCGUAAAGCGCACGCAGGCGGGUGGCUAAGUCAGGGGGGAAAUGCCGAGGCUCAACCUCGGAACUGCCCUUGAUACUGGCUAUCUUGAGUCCGGGAGAGGUGAGUGGAACUCCGAGUGUAGAGGUGAAAUUCGUAGAUAUUCGGAAGAACACCAGUGGCGAAGGCGGCUCACUGGCCCGGUACUGACGCUGAGGUGCGAAAGCGUGGGGAGCAAACAGG
Molecule: ribosomal RNA, 253 nt
Filed under: uncultured bacterium
Lineage: Bacteria
Description: partial 16S ribosomal RNA
Rfam family: Bacterial small subunit ribosomal RNA
Source: RNAcentral